Molecule: long non-coding RNA, 1526 nt
Organism: Dermochelys coriacea (leatherback sea turtle)
Lineage: Eukaryota; Metazoa; Chordata; Testudines; Dermochelyidae
Exons: 3
Source: RefSeq, a predicted model, not a curated record
UAUAUACCUCACCCUGGCAGAGAAAGGGUUAACAGGAGCUUGAGUGCUCAAUUAGCCCACCUGAUUGCACCUAGAGUGGCAUUAGGCACAGUUAGUUACCAGAUGCAGCUUGGAGCUCAGAGCAGUAGAAGGAGCGUAUCAGCAGGGAGGUGAGCUAGGGGAGAAGGGGUAUAGGAUUUCCUCUCUCAGAGAGAAGAUCCUGGGGGGAGUUAGUCCUGUAGUGGGAUUGAUACAUGGGCUAAGCUCCAGUGAGGCAAGUCUGUGGAUUGGUGAUCUAGAAGAGGAACAGACAGCUGGGAAGAGAUCAGAGGGACUAAAAUGUCAAGCCUAGGGCAGGCAGGAGCAGCAGAAGUUGUUUGGUUUCAUUUGGGGGGUUGAUUUCUGCUGGGGCGAAGCAGCCAGUUCUCUGAAAGAGUGGGGUUGAAGAGCAGCUCAGAAGGGCUGGCCGGUGUUAUUUGGUGACCAGUAUUGGGGAGUGUGAUGAUGCCAAAGGGGGGGGACUUUAGUGAUGGCCUGAGGCCCCAAUCACCAGACCACAGCAGCCCAAGGAUAUGAGGAGGCAGAAGUGUCCCAGUGCUGAGUCUUGCUACAAGGAGUUGCUCCAGGAUGCCCAGGUCUUAAUGCCCUCCCAUCACAGCCUCCUGAUUGAUGAUCUUCCUGGCCACAUUUGCAUGCACAGGACUCUCGGUGCCCGCACAGGACUGCGGGGGCAGAAGAUUGGAACGUAUCCUCCCAGCCCUUAGGAACAAGUCUCCGAGUCAACCAACACUAGUUCCAACCACUGAAUCCUUCUCCCGGAGAUGCACAGAGGUCACUCUGGGAAGCCACAAUGCAAGUGCUGGGUGGUGUCUAACAAAAGCCCAGUGCUAUGGACUGCAGCUCAGCACCAAACACGCCAGUCACUGCCACAUGUGCUAAAGGAUUCACUCCAUUAGCUGGAAACAGUUCCAGGCUCUUAUCCCCGUGGGGUUCUGCCACUAAAGGGGGAAGCAAUACCCUUAUUCAAUGUGUUGUGUGUCCCUGGCACCAGCUUUUCCUAGUACAUAAUUCUGAUACCUUCCCAGAUGAUGCUGCAGAGGGGCAAGUCCGUGCCCUGCUGCUGUGCCCACAAAGCGAUACCUUCACACCAUAUUCUAAUUGGGGGAAGUGUUUCCUGGGAUGACGUUUCUGCUGGGCUGUACUGAGUCAGAAGAUGGCCACGCCGCCCUGUGUCCUAGCAUUGCAUGCCUAGCCCCAGGGUUGCAUGUGCAAGGGGACUAGUGAGGGUAGAGAAGAGCAGGAUUCAAUGAGGUAUGCUGGAGCAAAUCAUGGAGGGUUUUAGGAACAGGGCAGUUUGAAUAGGACCCUGGAGUGAAGGUCCACUGCACUCGUACAGGGACAGGAGUGAUGGGGUUGCACUUGCACCUGUGAGAAAAUGGGCACGAGCACAACAGAUGCAAGACUCCACCCAGGGAAGCUGCAGAAAGUCCCCACUGAGAUGAGAGCUGGUGGUGGUGGAGGCUGUAGGGAAGGUGUAUGUGAUGGGA